Molecule: long non-coding RNA, 1608 nt
Filed under: Bemisia tabaci
Lineage: Eukaryota; Metazoa; Arthropoda; Insecta; Hemiptera; Aleyrodidae
Description: lncRNA ENSSWEETPG002974
Source: RNAcentral
AUAAUUUCGAGUCUUCGGACAACUCUCUCGUGGACUCCACAUACAAUUCAUCUUCCGGAGAAUCUGACGAAGAAAUUGAAGAAGAGGAAAUGUACCGAAGAAGAACGAAUCAACUCAAGCGCAAUCUCAGAUUUGAGGCAGAACUCUAAUAAUCACUCUGGGCCGGUUGGCACGCUCAGUCGCUCGAAAGGACAUGCUGAAGAUGUUCUCUCACCUUCCGCUGAAUGGGUCCGGAAGCAAUUAGAAAGUGAUGUACAAGGGUUGUCAGUGUUAAGCUGGUUCAAGACCCGAAAUUCCCUUGUUAAUCGUAAAAGGGGAAUCAUUACCAAAGUAUUAAUUGAAUCUGAACUUAAACCUGAUCUGUCAAAAUGCAUCAGUCCUGAAAGGUUCAUAGCAAUGGCAGAAGCUAUUACAAAAGCGUUUCCUUGCGAAACUGAAGAAACCUAUUAUAUUCCUCGCCGCAGGAAUGCCUUAAAUAAAGUUUGCAAAGCUAAGGGUAAACUUUACAACAUGUAUUUAAAUAUGAGGAAAGACUUGAGAAGGAAUAACCUUAUAAUCGGACGAAGAGAUCUGGACCCGGUGAUGACUUCAUCUUCUGAAAGUGGUACGUAUCAUAUUCACAGUAUGAUAUCGCUCGGUCAUGUAAUCAUUAUUACCUCUAAGUUGAGUUUUAAAAAAUUUACCUAUUUCUUAAAGGCGAACCAACAAGAGUGGAAGCUAUAAGACAUGUGACUUUGAAGCUGCAAAAAAUUAUUUUACUAGUAUAAAAUUGAGAACUUUAAAACAAGGCUGCGGGCAAUCUUAAAUGUUCAGGUUUUUCUCCGGUCAAGGAAAAGAGAAUUUUGAAGGAAGACUUGUAUUUCUAUCUUCGAUCGUUUAUCCGUCAAAUUAUUUAUUUAUCAUCCAUUUAUUUAAUUUUUUUCAUAUUUGCUUUCCUCCGUUACUCAGCACUUCCUGCAUGGUACUUAUCUAUGGGAAUGAUUGUAAACAUUUGCUUAUCAGGUUGCGCGGCAAUUUGUAGUAUGGAAAAUUAAAGCUUUAAUUUUAUGCAAUUACCAUAGUUAUCUUGUUGGUAUCUAUUUAUCUCUAUGUCACACUUCCUCAAUAUUUAACUACUUACUCAAUGGUGAUUGAAAACAAAUCUGUUUUUGUCUUUGAAUUCUGUCAGAAUUAUUUUUCGCUUUUCUGAAGGCAACAUUGCACAUCAGGAGGUAAUCUCGAUUACUUGUAUGAAGCUUGAUUCUUUAAAAUUUUACUACGAAUUUUUGGUGGAGUUUGAUGAAUCUCGGUAACUUGUUCAAGUGAUUUAAUUUUGUAUGGUUUCAGAUGAUGAGGACGGUGAAGCAAAUCAAAUAAUAGUUUGGACUAAAAACCACUCGGAACCUUUCGACGAAGUUCUAGUUAAAUUUCGACAAUCAUCUGUCCAACGAAUCCAACAAUUCACGAGGUCAGGAAGUAAUGACAUUGGCCUAUUCUUAAAUCUUUACCCUGCGUACAAGAAAAACAAUGGGUAUAUUCUGGUAAGAAAAUAUUGGAUUGCAAAAUAUUCAUUUCUGUUAUGCAAAGAAAAAAAAGAGUUAAUUUUAUCAAUGUUUAUCAUCUUAGGGG